CAGGAUUAGAUNCCCUGGUAGUCCAUGCUGUAAACGGUGGGCGUUAGGUGUGGGGACCGGUUUGGUUUCUGUGCCGUAGCUAACGCAUUAAGCGCCCCGCCUGGGGAGUACGGCCGCAAGGCUAAAACUCAAAGGAAUUGACGGGGGCCCGCACAAGCGGCGGAGCAUGUGGAUUAAUUCGAUGCAACGCGAAGAACCUUACCUGGGUUUGACAUGCACCAGACGGUUGUAGAGAUACGUACCUCCCUUUGUGGUUGGUGUGCAGGUGGUGCAUGGUUGUCGUCGGCUCGUGUCGUGAGAUGUUGGGUUAAGUCCCGCAACGAGCGCAACCCAUGUCUUAUGUUGCCAGCACUUUGGGUGGGGACUCAUGAGAGACUGCCGGGGUUAACUCGGAGGAAGGUGGGGAUAACGUCAAAUCAUCAUGCCCUUUAUGCCCAGGGCUUCACACAUGCUACAAUGGUUAGUACAACGCGCUGCGAGCCUGUGAGGGUGAGCGAAUCGCUGAAAGCUAAUCUCAGUUCGGAUUGGGGUCUGCAACUCGACCCCAUGAAGUCGGAGUCGCUAGUAAUCGCAGAUCAGCAAUGCUGCGGUGAAUACGUUCCCGGGCCUUGUACACACCGCCCGUCACGU
RNAcentral lists this ribosomal RNA (630 nucleotides) under uncultured bacterium. RNAcentral describes it as "bacterial SSU rRNA". It matches the Rfam family "Bacterial small subunit ribosomal RNA", at positions 773 to 1402 of the family's 1533-position model. The record is from RNAcentral.